UCCGAGAGAUAUCGCAAAAGUUGAAUGCACCUAAAUUGUUUGGUGACAGUUAACAUCUGCACGUUUAGAUUACAGUAGAGGACUCACAAUGUCGAAUAAAGUGUUACUGCCGCUGAUUGUUGUGAUUUGUCUUUACGCAAGCUCUUGCUCAGCGAUAAAAUGCUAUACGUGCCUCAGUCUCACUGACGUUAGCUGCGCGGAUGAUUUCGAUAAACGCAACCAUAAUUUGACUGACGGCUGCGCCCAAUGUGGGAAGCAAAAAGGAACUGUCAAAACUCAUGUCGUGAUAAGAGCGUGCCUUGAAAAAGUUAUCGGGGGUAACGAGUGUACGAAGUUGACAAAGGAUGGCGCGGAAGCGCUUAACUGUCUCUGCAAUACAGAUGGAUGUAACGCGGCCUCUUCCAUCUACGUCACCAUAGCAAUCAUGUCAGCGCCACUAUUGAUUUUGGCGAAACAUUUGUAAAAUGUAUAAUAUAUUUCAAUGAGAGGCAACGGAGACGAACUGUUCAAAUAAUAUGGACAUUUAGUGAAGCUGUUGGCUACGGGAUCCCGAUCGAAACAACACAUGUGAUGACAUCAUAUUGACACGUUAAUGAUAAGUCGUUUUGGUGUUGUUAAUUAUUGUAUUUAUUGUGAUUUUGCAUGUAUGUGCCUUCAUAAUGAUUACUUUAAUUAUUAUUCUUACAUAAAAUAAUAACGUGAAAUAAAAUGCACAUUUUAAAAUAAAACACAUAUUCUGAAAUAUAUUAAUCAACCCAAUCGAUAUUCUAUAAUAUAUUAGUCAACCGCAGUUAUUUUUUGUAAUAUAUAUUAAGCAACCCACUUGAUACUCUAUAAUAUUGGUCAAACCUAGUUAUUUUAGGCAAUAUAUAUUAAGCAACCCACAUCAUACUCUAUAAUAUAAGUCAACCCAAGUUAGUGUAUGCAAUAUAUAUUAAGCAACCCACGUCAUACUCUAUAUUAUGUGUCAACCCAAGUUAGUUUAUGCAAUAUAUAUUAGGCAUACCACUUGAUACUCUAUACUAUUAGUUAAACCAAGUUAUGUUAUGCAAUAUAUAUUAAGCAACCAACUUGAUACUCUGUAAUAUUAGUCUACCUAAGUUAUUUUAUUCAAUAUUCAGAGGCACGCCUCUGAAAAAAAGUACACUAUCGAGCCUUGAUUCGAUAAAAGCAUAAUACACUGUAAAUGUCAUUUCAUUCUUUAGCAGAGGCAACUUGAUUUAUAUAAAUACAUCUUGAGUGGUUCUUUACCAUUGUUACUGCCAUGGCUGCGGUGUUUUGUUUCUUUUCUCAUUUUAAGAGCGAGUCGGUUAUGUACGUUUAACAAAUUAGUAAUUGUACUAUACGAAUGAAGAUAAAAAGUG
Dreissena polymorpha is the source of this 1364-nucleotide long non-coding RNA. RefSeq lists it as uncharacterized. Lineage: Eukaryota; Metazoa; Mollusca; Bivalvia; Myida; Dreissenidae. The transcript is spliced from 3 exons. The record is from RefSeq and is a predicted model, not a curated record.